RNAcentral lists this ribosomal RNA (465 nucleotides) under uncultured beta proteobacterium. RNAcentral's name for it is "bacterial SSU rRNA". It matches the Rfam family "Bacterial small subunit ribosomal RNA", at positions 338 to 795 of the family's 1533-position model. The record is from RNAcentral. Lineage: Bacteria; Pseudomonadati; Pseudomonadota; Betaproteobacteria.
CCUACGGGGGGCUGCAGUGGGGAAUUUUGGACAAUGGGGGCAACCCUGAUCCAGCCAUUCCGCGUGAGUGAAGAAGGCCUUCGGGUUGUAAAGCUCUUUUGUUCGGGACGAAACGGUUAAGGCUAAUAACCUUGACUACUGACGGUACCGGAAGAAUAAGCACCGGCUAACUACGUGCCAGCAGCCGCGGUAAUACGUAGGGUGCGAGCGUUAAUCGGAAUUACUGGGCGUAAAGCGUGCGCAGGCGGUUUUAUAAGCCAGAUGUGAAAGCCCCGGGCUCAACCUGGGAAUGGCAUUUGGGACUGUAAGGCUGGAGUAUGGCAGAGGAGACUAGAAUUCCUGGUGUAGCAGUGAAAUGCGUAGAUAUCAGGAGGAAUACCGAUGGCGAAGGCAGGUCUCUGGGCCAAUACUGACGCUCAUGCACGAAAGCGUGGGGAGCAAACAGGCUUAGAUACCCCUGUAGUC